GAUGAACGCUGGCGGCGUGCCUAAUACAUGCAAGUCGAGCGAACGGACGAGAAGCUUGCUUCUCUGAUGUUAGCGGCGGACGGGUGAGUAACACGUGGAUAACCUACCUAUAAGACUGGGAUAACUUCGGGAAACCGGAGCUAAUACCGGACAAUAUUUUGAACCGCAUGGUUCAAAAGUGAAAGACGGUCUUGCUGUCACUUAUAGAUUGAUCCGCGCUGCAUUAGCUAGUUGGUAAGGUAACGGCUUACCAAGGCAACGAUGCAUAGCCGACCUGAGAGGGUGAUCGGCCACACUGGAACUGAGACACGGUCCCGACUCCUACGAGAGGCAGCGGUAGGGAAUCUUCCGCAAUGGGCGAAAGCGUGGCGUAGCAACGCCGCGUGAGUGAUGAAGGUCUUCGGAUCGUAAAACUCUGUUAUUAGGGAAGAACAUAUGUGUAAGUAACUGUGCACAUCUUGACGGUACCUAAUCAGAAAGCCGAGGCUAACUACGUG
RNAcentral lists this ribosomal RNA (497 nucleotides) under uncultured bacterium. Its description in RNAcentral is "partial 16S ribosomal RNA". It matches the Rfam family "Bacterial small subunit ribosomal RNA", at positions 28 to 507 of the family's 1533-position model. The record is from RNAcentral.